RNAcentral lists this ribosomal RNA (253 nucleotides) under uncultured bacterium. RNAcentral describes it as "partial 16S ribosomal RNA". It matches the Rfam family "Bacterial small subunit ribosomal RNA", at positions 524 to 776 of the family's 1533-position model. The record is from RNAcentral.
UACGUAGGGUGCAAGCGUUGUCCGGAAUUAUUGGGCGUAAAGAGCUCGUAGGCGGCUUGUCACGUCGGGUGUGAAAGCCCGGGGCUUAACCCCGGGCCUGCAUUCGAUACGGGCUAGCUAGAGUGUGGUAGGGGAGAUCGGAAUUCCUGGUGUAGCGGUGAAAUGCGCAGAUAUCAGGAGGAACACCGGUGGCGAAGGCGGAUCUCUAGGCCAUUACUGACGCUGAGGAGCGAAAGCGUGGGGAGCGAACAGG